Molecule: ribosomal RNA, 406 nt
Filed under: uncultured bacterium
Lineage: Bacteria
Description: partial 16S ribosomal RNA
Rfam family: Bacterial small subunit ribosomal RNA
Source: RNAcentral
AUUGAACGCUGGCGGCAGGCCUAACACAUGCAAGUCGAACGAGUGGCGGACGGGUGAGUAAUGUCUGGGAAACUGCCUGACGGAGGGGGAUAACUACUGGAAACGGUAGCUAAUACCGCAUACCAUCGGAUGUGCCCAGAUGGGAUUAGCUAGUAGGUGGGGUAAAGGCUCACCUAGGCGACGAUCCCUAGCUGGGCUGAGAGGAUGACCAGCCACACGGGAACUGAGACACGGUCCAGACUCCUACGGGAGGCAGCAGUGGGGAAUAUUGGACAAUGGGAGCAAGCCUGAUGCAGCCACGCCGCGUGAAUGAAGAAGGCCUUCGGGUUGUAAAGUACUUUCGGCGGGGAGGCGUGAGCGGCAGAAGAAGCACCGGCUAACUCCGUGCCAGCCGCCGCGGUAAUAC